AGUGAACGCUGGCGGUAGGCCUAACACAUGCAAGUCGAACGGCAGCACAGUAAGAGCUUGCUCUUACGGGUGGCGAGUGGCGGACGGGUGAGGAAUACAUCGGAAUCUACUUUUUCGUGGGGGAUAACGUAGGGAAACUUACGCUAAUACCGCAUACGACCUACGGGUGAAAGCGGGGGAUCUUCGGACCUUGCGCGAUUGAAUGAGCCGAUGUCGGAUUAGCUAGUUGGCGGGGUAAAGGCCCACCAAGGCGACGAUCCGUAGCUGGUCUGAGAGGAUGAUCAGCCACACUGGAACUGAGACACGGUCCAGACUCCUACGGGAGGCAGCAGUGGGGAAUAUUGGACAAUGGGCGCAAGCCUGAUCCAGCCAUACCGCGUGGGUGAAGGAGGCCUUCGGGUUGUAAAGCCCUUUUGUUGGGAAAGAAAAGCAGCAGGUUAAUACCCCGCUGUUCUGACGGUACCCAAAGAAUAAGCACCGGCUAACUUCGUG
RNAcentral lists this ribosomal RNA (492 nucleotides) under uncultured bacterium. Its description in RNAcentral is "partial 16S ribosomal RNA". It matches the Rfam family "Bacterial small subunit ribosomal RNA", at positions 29 to 507 of the family's 1533-position model. The record is from RNAcentral.